Molecule: long non-coding RNA, 1039 nt
Organism: Dermochelys coriacea (leatherback sea turtle)
Lineage: Eukaryota; Metazoa; Chordata; Testudines; Dermochelyidae
Exons: 3
Source: RefSeq, a predicted model, not a curated record
UUGAGGUGUCUGUCUGAUUAUUAUUUUUCCUCACGACUGUCAGUGGGGAAUGAUGAUUGUGGGUUGUGUUGUCAUAGUUGUGAAAUAAUUUUUUGAGUCAGCAGAAGAAUGUGUCCGCUUCUCUACAUGUUAGUAUGGUAUCAAGGUUCUGUGGUGGGGCAAGAUCAUUCAGUUUCAGUUAGGGAUAGUCUUGAUAAAUGGAUUAUGUUGGGGUGUUGUGUAGUGUCCAUGUAGGGAGUACUAGUGCUAUGGUUUCUCCCAGAGGUGGCAUUCUGUGGUUGUGGAGUUGUAGCUGGCUCCACUUUUUGUUUUAGUGUUUGAUGGCUGUCAUCAGGGGCAUUUUUUUGUUUGUUUUUUGAUAAUUGUUUUGGGUUUCUUGCUUUAUUUCCAGGUAAGUUUCUUGAUAUAUUUUUUCCUUCUUCCAGUGUGCACAAGCGUGUGAUGAUUUUGUGUUUAGGCAGUCUUUUCUAGAACAUGUGAGGUGCAGUAAGUGGUUCCUCAGUUUUUCUGAAGUCCUUGAGAGCUGUUCAGCAUAUUUGGAGUCUUAUGUAGUGAUUACUCAUCUCACUCAUGCAUUUUAACUUAAUUUUAUUUAAAACUUUUUGUGUGAAAAUUUUAUCUGAUGUAGUAAUUGUCUGUCUAUAAUGUACUUGUCAGAACCAUAAAAAUUCAUUAUUUGUGUUCAUAAUUGGAUUCAUUUCCCUCUUUUCCAUUAGAUAGGAGUGUUUGUGAUAUGCAGAUAGUAAAAUGGUAGGAAAGGGUUGUAGCUCACUAAAGUCACUAAAAUAGAGAGAUUUUAUAAGGCUCAUAGACUCAUGGGCUUUAAGGUAACAAAACACGAUCAUGAUCAUCCAGUCUGUCCUCCUGUUCAAUGAAGGCCACAGAAUCUCAUCUACCCACUCCUGUAAUAGACCCAUGAACUCUGGCUGAGUUACUGAAGUCCUCACUCAUGAUUUAAAGACUUCAAGUUACAGUGAAUCCACCAUUUACAGUAGUUUAAACCUGCAGGUGACCCAUGCCUCAUGCUGCAGAGGAAUGC